CCUACGGGUGGCAGCAGUGGGGAAUAUUGCACAAUGGGCGAAAGCCUGAUGCAGCAACGCCGCGUGAGCGAUGACGGCCUUCGGGUCGUAAAGCUCUGUCCUCCAGGAAGCUAAUGACGGUACUUGAGGAUGAAGCCCCGGCUAACUACGUGCCAGCCGCCGCGGUAAUACGUAGGGGGCUAGCGUUAUCCGGAAUUACUGGGCGUAAAGGGUGCGUAGGUGGUUUUUUAAGUCAGAGGUGAAAGGCUAGGGCUCAACCGUAGUAAGCCGUUGAAACUGGGGAACUUGAGUGCGGGAGAGGAGAGUGGAAUGCGUAGUGUAGCGGUGAAAUGCGUAGAUAUUAGGAGGAACACCAGUUGCGAAGGCGGCUCUCUGGAGUGUAACUGACACUGAGGCACGAAAGCGUGGGGAGCAAACAGGAUUAGAUACCCGGGUAGUC
This 439-nucleotide ribosomal RNA is filed under the name uncultured bacterium. RNAcentral's name for it is "partial 16S ribosomal RNA". It matches the Rfam family "Bacterial small subunit ribosomal RNA", at positions 338 to 795 of the family's 1533-position model. The record is from RNAcentral.